Molecule: ribosomal RNA, 253 nt
Filed under: uncultured bacterium
Lineage: Bacteria
Description: partial 16S ribosomal RNA
Rfam family: Bacterial small subunit ribosomal RNA
Source: RNAcentral
UACAGAGGGGGCAAGCGUUAUUCGGAAUUAUUGGGCGUAAAGGGCGCGUAGGCGGCCUGGCAAGUGGAAGGUGAAAUCCCUCGGCUUAACCGAGGAACUGCCCUCCAAACUGCUUGGCUUGAGUCCGGGAGAGGUGAGUGGAAUUCCCAGUGUAGCGGUGAAAUGCGUAGAUAUCAAGUGGAACACCAGUGGCGAAGGCGAGUCCCUGGACAACUCCUGACACUGAGGCACGAAAGCUAGGGGAGCAAACAGG